AGUGAACGCUGGCGGUAGGCCUAACACAUGCAAGUCGAACGGCAGCACAGGAGAGCUUGCUCUCUGGGUGGCGAGUGGCGGACGGGUGAGGAAUACAUCGGAAUCUACUCUGUCGUGGGGGAUAACGUAGGGAAACUUACGCUAAUACCGCAUACGACCUACGGGUGAAAGCAGGGGACCUUCGGGCCUUGCGCGAUUGAAUGAGCCGAUGUCGGAUUAGCUAGUUGGCGGGGUAAAGGCCCACCAAGGCGACGAUCCGUAGCUGGGCUGAGAGGAUGAUCAGCCACACUGGAACUGGGACCCGGUCCAGACUCCUACGGGAGGCAGCAGUGGGGAAUAUUGGACAAUGGGCGCAAGCCUGAUCCAGCCAUACCGCGUGGGUGAAGAAGGCCUUCGGGUUGUAAAGCCCUUUUGUUGGGAAAGAAAUCCAGCUGGCUAAUACCCGGUUGGGAUGACGGUACCCAAAGAAUAAGCACCGGCUAACUUCGUGCCAGCCGCCGCAGUAA
This 506-nucleotide ribosomal RNA is filed under the name uncultured bacterium. Its description in RNAcentral is "partial 16S ribosomal RNA". It matches the Rfam family "Bacterial small subunit ribosomal RNA", at positions 29 to 523 of the family's 1533-position model. The record is from RNAcentral.